This 20-nucleotide non-coding RNA is filed under the name Arabidopsis thaliana (thale cress). Lineage: Eukaryota; Viridiplantae; Streptophyta; Magnoliopsida; Brassicales; Brassicaceae. The record is from RNAcentral.
UAUUUGGCGUGAUGUGAUAC